CAGCAGCCGCGGUAAUACGUAGGGUGCGAGCGUUAAUCGGAAUUACUGGGCGUAAAGCGUGCGCAGGCGGCUUUGCAAGACAGAGGUGAAAUCCCCGGGCUCAACCUGGGAACUGCCUUUGUGACUGCAAGGCUAGAGUACGGCAGAGGGGGAUGGAAUUCCGCGUGUAGCAGUGAAAUGCGUAGAUAUGCGGAGGAACACCGAUGGCGAAGGCAAUCCCCUGGGCCUGUACUGACGCUCAUGCACGAAAGCGUGGGGAGCAAACAGGAUUAGAUACCCUGGUAGUCCACGCCCUAAACGAUGUCAACAGGUUGUUGGACGGCUUGCUGUUCAGUAACGAAGCUAACGCGUGAAGUUGACCGCCUGGGGGGUACGGCCGCAAGGUUGAAACUCAAAUAAAUUGACGG
This 407-nucleotide ribosomal RNA is filed under the name uncultured rumen bacterium. RNAcentral describes it as "bacterial SSU rRNA". It matches the Rfam family "Bacterial small subunit ribosomal RNA", at positions 509 to 916 of the family's 1533-position model. The record is from RNAcentral.